Molecule: long non-coding RNA, 1359 nt
Organism: Syzygium oleosum
Lineage: Eukaryota; Viridiplantae; Streptophyta; Magnoliopsida; Myrtales; Myrtaceae
Exons: 2
Source: RefSeq, a predicted model, not a curated record
UAGCAACUCUGGCUCUGCCGGGCUCGGGCUAAGAUGGUUUCGUCCUCUGUCGUACCUGAUCUUCCUCAGCUCAACCUAUUUUCUUCAGUCAUCAUGGAGAAGCUAGUAUGGAAGUUUGAGUAAGAUCAGGGUGUCGCCAACAGAAACAGGCCGUGUAGCUAAUUAGAGAUGGAUCACUUGAGCACAGAUCACACAAUCAAAGCGCAAUGCUGUCACUGUGGGCACUAGCAUUUCCUAGUCUCUGGGAGCACUUGCAUUUCAUGAAUCCCACGUAAGUUCCAAUUGAUUCUUCAAAUCAACCAACAAUCUCCACCCCACGUAACAAUAUAACAAGGUUAUAUAGCUUCUUCGACCUAGCCAGCUGCCGCAGGACAUCGCAGAUGAAAAAGUGGGAUUUCAAGAAAGCUGGGUUUAAAUAAAAUGCUGAGUUGCGCAAUGCUACAAAACCAUCUGCAUUUUCGACAAGCAUGCGCCGUUACACAUGCCGGUCCAAGAACUCAUACCUUGCGGAAGCAAUCAUUCAAACUGAGUGCAAAAUUGGAUCUUAACAUUAACAAAAUCCAGUAACAAGUAACAGUACAGAUGCCACAACGCAUCAGCCAUACCGAGAAAGGAAAGUGAAAAUCAGUAGGGAGAGAAUCCAUAACUUCGUCUAUAAGAAACCCUGCAAAAAAAUAGGAUUUUGGAGACCACCCUUCUGACAAAAUUCUCAGAAAAGGCUUUACAGGUACAAAUAAUUAUAAAUGAGGCUUCAUAUAACCUCUCCACCCUACACCAGCUGGAGGUUCUGAGGUUCAAACGAGAGAAUUCUUACACAAUCCACUAACACCUGUUGUGCUGCUACAUCAAGCAACUCUAAGAAGCAGAUGGAGGUGCCUCGGACUUGUCCGUUUCCAUCGGCUCCCCUGAAGCAGGCGGAACAUCACCAGUUCCAGCAUCAGUAUCAGCACUUGCAUUAGCAUCGGUGUUGACAUCGCCUCGAGGUUGCUGCUCACCCUGAGCAGGCCGAGGAGGAGUCUCAGGAGCAACAGGCUUGGCGGGCUUUGGUUUCAUCAUUAUUGGCCGGCAAAACCUAUUGAAGCAAAUCUUAGUCUGUAGUGUGAUCUAGAAUUAAGGAAAUAAAAAAUGGAGAGAGGAAAUCACGUGCGCAACAACACCACCAGUUACUGCAAUGACCAGUUGGCCAGAACAUGCAAGUUCCAUUAAGUCUAUCUUAUUAAUGGCUUAGAUUGUCUUUACAAGGACCAUUUCAAGAUUUGUGGCCCCAUCUAGUUGAGUAUCAACGAUUUUCUGUCACUUUCAUGUCUAGAGAAACUAAGAGCAAAAUAAACAAACACUAUCAUCAACACAGAAGUAAAA